UAGAGUGUGUAAUUCACGAAGUAUGAAUCUGCUGGGUAAUGUGAUAUGAAAAGCGAAUGCACCAUUUCUUGGUGAUGAUUCAGGUCAGCGUUGGGACCCAGGAAUCUCCUGUUAAUCAGUACCCUGGUGAUUUUGAUCCAGAGACGGGGUCUAUUAUCUGGUCCUGUUGUCAAGGCUGGUCUCAAACUCCUGGCCUCCAGCGAUCCUCCCUUUUUGGCCUCCCAAGAUGCUGGUAUUACAGGCAUGAGCCACCAUGGUCCACCUGGACUCCUUUUCAUAGGAGACAGUUCCCUAGGCAGAGACUGGGCUUGAAACAGUUCUGGAGGCUGAGGAGCCCAAGGUUGAGGGGCUUCAUCUGGUGGGAGCCUUCUUGCUGGUGGAGACUCUGAAGAGUCCCGAAGUGGUGUGGGGAAUCAUAUGGUUUGUUUUUUAUCAGUGUGUUGUACAGAGCGAAUGGCCUCGGACCUUCAAUGGCUGUGCACUGCUUUCUCAGGACUUUCCCUUGGAGGGAAGCACUGACCCUUAUCUCUUUCCCUUUUCUCCACCAUUAGAGCUCAGAGAUCCCCAGAGGCAAAGCGGGGAAAGUUUUAGAAAUCAUCGUCACUCUGGAAAGCUUUCAGAUCACAGAUUCCUGCUCAUAAGUGGAUAAAUGAUGCAGUAAAAUUGAACAAACACAGCUCGUCCUACAUUCUGAAUAUGGGGCACAUUUAUCAGGAAUUAUAAACAGGCACGUGGAUUAUAAAUAGGGAUCAUCUAAUUCUACAACAGGAUUGCUGUCUGAACACUUGAGAUAAAUCUUCAUUCACUCUCUGGAAUUGCUCAACACACAGGUUAAUUUCUCACUAUUGAUUUUCUCCAGUAUGCUUCUUGAAUGCUUCGAGAUCUCUUGACCUAUACAAAAUAUCUCUGUGACAGAAGGUUAAAAAAAUAGCUCUUCAAAUUUAUGACAAACCCACAGCCAAUAUCAUACUCAAUGGGCAAAAGCUGGAAGCAUUCCCUUUGAAAACUGGCACAAGACAAGGAUGUCCUCUCACCACUCCUAUUCAAAUUAUUAUUGGAAGUUCUGGCCAGGGCAAUUGGGCAAGAGAAAGAAAUAAAGGGUAUUCAAAUAGGAAGACAGGGAGUCAAAUUAUCUCUGUUUGCAGAUGACAUGAUUGUAUAUUCAGAAAACCCCAUUGUCUCAGCCCAAAAACUCCUUAAGCUGAUAAGCAACUUCAGCAAAGUCUCAGGAUACAAAAUCAAUGUGCAAAAAUCACAGGCAUUCCUAUACACCACUAAUAGAGAGCCAAAUCAUGAGUGAACUCCCAUUCACAAUUACUACAAAGAAAAUAAAAUGCCUAGGAAUACAACUUACAAAGGGAUGUGAAGGACUUCAUGCUACCUGACUUCAAACUAUGCUACAAGGCUACAGUAACCAAAACAGCAUGGUACUGGUACGAAAACAGAUAUGUAGACCAACGGAGGAGAAUAGAGGCCUCAGAAAUAAAGCCACACAUCUACAACCAUCUGAUCUUUGACAAACCUGACAAAAACAAGCAAUGGAGAAAAGACUCCCUAUUUAAUAAAUGGUGUUGGGAAAACUGGCUAGCCAUAUGCAGAAAACUGAAACUGGACUCCUUCAUUACACCUUGUACAAAAAUUAACUCAAGAUGUAUUAAAGACUUAAACAUAAGACCCAAAACCAUAAAAACCUUAGAAGAAAACCUAAGCAAUGCCAUUCAGGACAUAGGCAUGGGCAAAGACUUCAUGACUAAAACAUUAAAGCAAUGGCAACAAAAGCCAAAAUUGACAAAUGGGAUCUAAUUAAACUAAAGAGCUUCUGCACAGCAAAAUGAACUAUCAUCAGAGUGAACAGGCAACCUACAGAAUGGGAGAACAUUUUUGCAAUCCAUCUAUCUGACAAAGGGCUAAUAUCCAGAAUCUACAAAGAACUUAAACAAAUUUACAACAAAAAAAUGACCCCAUCAAAAAGUGGGCAAAGGAUAUGAACAGACAACUCUCAAAAGGAGACAUUUAUGCAGCCAACAAACAUAUGAAAAAAAGCUCAUCAUCACUGGUCGUUAGAGAAAUGCAAAUCAAAACCACAAUGAGAUAACAUCUCACACCAGUUAGAAUGGCGAUCAUUAAAAAGUCAGGAAACAACAGAUGCUGGAGAGGAUGUGGAGAAAUAGGAACAAUUUUACACUGGUGGUGGGAGUGUAAAUUAGUUCAACCAUUGUGGAAGACAGUGUGGCGUUUCCCCAAGGAUCUAGAACUGGAAAUACCAUUUGACCCAGCAAUUCCAUUAGUGGGUAUAUACCCAAAGGAUUAGAAAUCAUUCUACUAUAAAGACACAUGCACACAUACUUUUAUUGCAGCACUGUUUGCAAUAGCAAAGACUUGGAACCAAUCCAAAUGCCCAUCAAUGAUAGACUGGAUAAAGAAAAUGUGGCACAUAUACACCAUGGAAUACUAUGCAGCCAUAAAAAAGGAUGAGUUCAUGUCCUUUGCAGGGACAUGGAUGAAGCUGGAAACCAUCAUUCUCAGCAAACUAACACAGGAACAGAAAACCAAACACCAUAUAUUCUCACUCAUAAGUGGGAGCUGAACAAUGAGAACACAUGGACACAGGGAGGGGAACAUCAUACACUGGGGGAACAUCACACACUGGGGUCUGUCAGUGGGUGGGGGACUAGGGGAAGGAAAGCAUUAGGAGAAGUACCUAAUGUAGAUGAGGAGUUGAUGGGUGCAGCGAACUACCAUGGCAUGUGUAUACUUAUGUAACAAACCUGCACAUUCUCCACAUGUAUCCCAGAACUUAAAGUAUAAUCAAAAAGAAAAAGAAAAAAAAUAGCUCUUCAAAAGAAUGCUUGAAAAAUCAGUAAAGAUAAUGAAAUAACUCUUCCCCAACUAUAGCCUGGUUGUUUAACUAGACAUUUUCAUUAAGUUUCAGGGAGAUAACAAAAUCAUGAACAUGUAUAAGAAGAGGCUUCAUGUACUGUAUUAAAGUUUUUGAGUGUGAAUAUUACUUUAGUGGGUAUCCCCAGGGAGGCAUAGUAUUCUCAACUAGUGACUGAAAAUCUCAAGUUAAAUCACAGUAAUAUCCAGAACCAGCUUGCGUAAGAGUGAGGCAACACAGUACAAGAUAAAAAACACAGGAAUAGGGCUCAGAAGACAUCAGCCUUGCCAGGAGUUGGGCCUUUCUGGGCUUUUGUGAUUCAUCUGAAGAAGUAAAGGGACUGGAUCCUAGGAGUCCUCCCAAUUCUAAAAUUUAAUGCUCUAGAUCCAAGAUGUUAUAUAAAUUUUUAUUAACAGGAAAACCAACUUCAAACAAAAAACAAAAAGAAAGCAAAGUUAAAACAUUUUUAUACCAAAAAAACUUGAGAGAUGUAUAAUAAACAUGAUUCUUUUUUCCCAAGAACCACCUUGAUACCUGUAUUUUCUUCCCCCAACGUGAUAUUAUUGAACAGUAAAAAAUUGCUUUAAGGAUUAAGUGUUCCAUUUAGUUGUUGGAGCAUUCCUUUCUUCAUCCC
This is a long non-coding RNA of Gorilla gorilla gorilla (western lowland gorilla), 3512 nucleotides long. RefSeq lists it as uncharacterized. NCBI's taxonomy places the organism in Eukaryota, Metazoa, Chordata, Mammalia, Primates, Hominidae. The record is from RefSeq and is a predicted model, not a curated record. The transcript is spliced from 8 exons.